GGAGAAUGCCUAGAAUCUGCAGAGCUGUUGUAAUAGCUGGUACAACUCUGAUGUGAAGCCUGAGGAACAGGAGGAAGGGAAGCAUGGCAGGCAGGUACAGGGAGAUUCUGGAUAUGACUUUGACAUCUGCCUCACCUCAGUGCAGAAGAGAGCAAUUCCAAUACUCUGCACAGUGCUAGAUGUCAUUGAUCAAAUGCAGCUGCAGUACUAAGGAUUUUGCACUUUGGUGAGUGGCACUUUGGGGGCCUAACGUCAAUAAAGUAGAAACUGCUGUCAAGUAGGAUGAGAUCCAGAUGAAGAUCUGGAGGUGCUCGUAUGAUAUCCCACCACCUCCGAUAAGCCCUGGCCAUUCUUUCUACAGCAACAUCAGUGAGGAUCACAGACAUGAAGACCUCACAGAAGAACAGCUAGUACCCUGUUAAAGUCUGAGGGACAUUACUGCCAGAGUUCUGCCCUUUUGGAUAGAAUUAAUAGUUCCUCAGAUUAAGGAAGGGAACUGGACACUAACUGUGGUCCACAGAACAGCCUUCAGGGAAUUGUCAAACAUAGAGAGGGUUGCUCUGAAGAAGCUGCCAUAGAGCUUAGUCUGCAGACUAGUAUUCUUGUUGUUUAUGAAUUGAAUUGGGAGAAGUCCUUCAAACAUAUGCAGUACCUAGGAAACAAGGAGGCCAUGUAUGAAGCCAUACAAGCUGUAACUGUCAAGGGCAUGGUCAAGGAGUGA
RNAcentral lists this long non-coding RNA (721 nucleotides) under Homo sapiens (human). RNAcentral describes it as "non-protein coding lnc-NDST4-5:1". The record is from RNAcentral. Lineage: Eukaryota; Metazoa; Chordata; Mammalia; Primates; Hominidae.